AGUCAGUUCAUUGAUCUAUGUAAAUUAGAGUGCUCCCAUUGUUAAACGUGUUCGAGUAUCUUGGAAGUUGAAUGUUGGUUGGUAUAUGUACGAGGCAUUUUUGUCUUAAAAGACAGAGUUGAUUUUUAUUUCAAACAAAAUCUCAUUUUCUGCAUUUUUUUUUCUACGUCUUCUUGAUUUCAAUAAGACAAAUUUCUUUCAUUUUUUAGCAUGUAAAAAGUUAGUUAUUAGAAUAUAAUUCUUCACAUAGUUUACCAGCAAUCUAAAGAUGAUAAAUUUUGUAUCCUGGUCUAUAUUAGUUUAUGCGCAUAUUCUGUUUUAUAGCCCUUGUUUGAGCCCAAUUUUGAGGGGAAAAAUAAAUUUUGGAAUAGUGUAUUGAUGAGAAUUGUGUGGUUAAAAAAUAAGGAAAGUUUUAGAUUUACGUGUAAUAUUAUUUUAUUGAAGAAUGUGGUUGAAAUAAUGUUAAAACAUUGUAGAAGAAUUCAUUUUUUUCCAAAGAAUGGGGAUCAAACAAAGGCAUAUAGAAUUCAUGAACUUGUUAAAUUCAUCUUAGGUGGAAUAAGUUUUGUGAUUCUUUAUUAGGUUCGACACUAGAUUUGAAAAAAGAAAAAAAGAAAAAAAAUUUAGUACUAGCAUACACGUUUUAAUUUGUCUACUAAAUGCAUGUGUGAUUACUAGAUAUUUGAAUCUUAAUAAUCAUUGCUUUAAUAAUUUAAUAUUCUAAAACAUGAACAAAGGUAUCAUGUUCUAAAUCCAUGUAAUUGGAGAUGGAACAAUGUGGUUCAAAUACACGAAACUUAUAAGAGAGGGGAAAAGAAAUGCUACACAAUGCCCCCGUUUGGCCCCCAUUAAUUUCAUUCCAUUAUAUUUUAUUUUUCUCUCUCCUAUUUUUAACCACAUAAUCUUUUAAAAAAUAAUAUUCUACGUAAAACGAAAAUUUUUCCUUCUUUUUCUACCACUCAUUUUUCAAAAAUACACCAUUCCAACCAUUUUCAUCUCCAAAAAAUGGGGGCCAAACAUGGA
This 1023-nucleotide long non-coding RNA is filed under the name Olea europaea (common olive). RNAcentral's name for it is "long non-coding RNA (OEUR_LNC013793)". Lineage: Eukaryota; Viridiplantae; Streptophyta; Magnoliopsida; Lamiales; Oleaceae. The record is from RNAcentral.